UACAAUGUUAAGUGUAAGAAAACUCCAGAA
RNAcentral lists this non-coding RNA (30 nucleotides) under Mus musculus (house mouse). Lineage: Eukaryota; Metazoa; Chordata; Mammalia; Rodentia; Muridae. The record is from RNAcentral.